Non-coding RNA from Pelobates cultripes (western spadefoot toad), 344 nucleotides. Lineage: Eukaryota; Metazoa; Chordata; Amphibia; Anura; Pelobatidae. The record is from the annotation of a GenBank genome assembly.
CGCGAGGAGAAAGGUCUCAUUGUAGAAGGACAUUGCGGCUGUGUGAGAGGCCCACAGAAAACUCAACAUGUCAUCAGCUCUGCUAGCUAAACCUCAAAUGAGAGGCCUUCUGGGUAAACGCCUCUGAUUUCACAUUUUCGGCGCCUUUGCUGUCUCUCUAGGAGUCGUAGCUUUGUACAAGUUUGGCGUUGCAGAGCCAAGGAAGAGAGCAUAUGCAGAUUAUUACAAGAACUUUGAUGCCACAAAGGAAUACGAAGCUAUGAAGCAAGCUGGUGUUUUUCAUUGUGUUCGACCAAGAGAAUAGUACAAUGUAAAAGAUAAAAUGCAAUGUGUUUGGACCCUUU